AGCGAACGCUGGCGGCAGGCUUAACACAUGCAAGUCGAGCGGGCAUCCUUGUGGUGUCAGCGGCAGACGGGUGAGUAACGCGUGGGAACGUGCCCUUCGGUUCGGAAUAACUCAGGGAAACUUGAGCUAAUACCGGAUACGUGCGAGAGCAGAAAGGUUUAUCUGCCGAAGGAUCGGCCCGCGUCUGAUUAGCUAGUUGGUGAGGUCACGGCUCACCAAGGCGACGAUCAGUAGCUGGUCUGAGAGGAUGAUCAGCCACACUGGGACUGAGACACGGCCCAGACUCCUACGGGAAGCAGCAGUGGGGAAUAUUGGACAAUGGGGGCAACCCUGAUCCAGCCAUGCCGCGUGAGUGAUGACGGCCUUAGGGUUGUAAAGCUCUUUUCUCCGGGACGAUAAUGACGGUACCGGAGGAAUAAGCCCCGGCUAACUUCGUG
Molecule: ribosomal RNA, 437 nt
Filed under: uncultured bacterium
Lineage: Bacteria
Description: partial 16S ribosomal RNA
Rfam family: Bacterial small subunit ribosomal RNA
Source: RNAcentral